RNAcentral lists this ribosomal RNA (380 nucleotides) under uncultured eukaryote. RNAcentral describes it as "partial 18S ribosomal RNA". It matches the Rfam family "Eukaryotic small subunit ribosomal RNA", at positions 592 to 976 of the family's 1831-position model. The record is from RNAcentral.
CAAUAGCGUAUAUUAAAGUUGUUGCAGUUAAAAAGCUCGUAGUUGGAUUUGUGGCGUACGGUGUGUUCCGGGCACUUGUUGUCUGAGUAACCUGCUGUUGCCAUCCUUGGGUGGAACCUGUGUGGCAUUAGGUUGUCGUGCAGGGGAUGCCCAUCAUUUACUGUGAAAAAAUUAGAAUGUUCAAAGCAGGCUUAUGCCGUUGAAUAUAUUAGCAUGGAAUAAUGAGAUAGGACUUUUUUGCUAUUUUGUUGGUUUGCGCAAAGAGGUAAUGAUUAAUAGGGACAGUUGGGGGUAUUCGUAUUCCAUUGUCAGAGGUGAAAUUCUUGGAUUUUUGGAAGACGAACUACUGCGAAAGCAUUUACCAAGGAUGUUUUCAUUAA